This 896-nucleotide ribosomal RNA is filed under the name Olivea capituliformis. RNAcentral's name for it is "partial large subunit ribosomal RNA". It matches the Rfam family "Eukaryotic large subunit ribosomal RNA", at positions 75 to 931 of the family's 3401-position model. The record is from RNAcentral. Lineage: Eukaryota; Fungi; Basidiomycota; Pucciniomycetes; Pucciniales; Raveneliaceae.
UUCCCUCAGUAAUGGCGAAUGAAGAGGGAAGAGCCCAAAUUUGAAAUCUUGUCUCUUUGUGAAGAUAAGAGUUGUAAUUUUGAGAACUGUUUUCUGAGCUAAAUGAGAUAUAUAUAAGUUUGUUGAAAGACAGCAUCAAAGAGGGUGAUAAUCCCGUCUAUGAUAUAUUGUGUGAGCCUAUAUGAUACAGUUUCUAAGAGUCGAGUUGUUUGGGAUUGCAGCUCAAAGUGGGUGGUAAAUUCCAUCUAAGGCUAAAUAUCAGUGAGAGACCGAUAGCAAACAAGUACCGUGAGGGAAAGAUGAAAAGAACUUUGGAAAGAGAGUUAACAGUAUGUGAAAUUGUUAAAAGGGAAACACUUGAAGUUAAACUUGUUAUUGUUGGAUCAACCAGAUGAUGGUGUAUUUCGACAUAUAUAUAACAGAUCAACAUGAAUUUUUAAGGAUGCUGGAAAAGGUUUAUUUGAAAUGUGGCAGUGAUCUUAGGAUGAUUGUGUUAUAGUCAGAUUGAAUUGGCAGUGUUCAGAAUUGAGGAAUGCAGUAAAACUUGAGUUUUCUAAAAGAGAACUUGUUUACUAAGGAUGUUGAUGAGGUAGCUUUAAAUGACCCGUCUUGAAACACGGACCAAGGAGUCUAACAUGCUUGCGAGUAUUUGAGUGAAAGAAACUCCUAAUGCAGAAUGAAAGUAAAUGUAAAUGAGAACUUUUGUUUUAUAAAGGGCACCAUUGACCAGUCUUGAUUUAUUUAUAAGAGAGUACUGAGUAAGAGCAAGUAUGUUGGGACCCGAAAGAUGGUGAACUAUGCCUGAAUAGGGUGAAGCCAGAGGAAACUCUGGUGGAGGCUCGUAGCAGUUCUGACGUGCAAAUCGAUUGUCAAAUUUGGGUAUAGGGGCGAAAGAC